This 139-nucleotide ribosomal RNA is filed under the name uncultured eukaryote. Its description in RNAcentral is "partial 18S ribosomal RNA". It matches the Rfam family "Eukaryotic small subunit ribosomal RNA", at positions 1299 to 1458 of the family's 1831-position model. The record is from RNAcentral.
UGGUGGAGUGAUUUGUCUGGUUAAUUCCGUUAACGAACGAGACCUCGACCUACUAAAUAGUUUACUGAACCCUUGGGUCCUAGUAAACUUCUUAGAGGGACUAUCGGUGUGUAGCCGAUGGAAGCUCGAGGCAAUAACA